UGGGCACACUCCAGGGCCUCGAUGUCCUUCUUGUAGUGAGGGGCCCAAAGCUGAACACAACACUCGAGGUGCGGCCUCACUGCAGGGGUCACAGCCUUUCUGCCUGAGUGCUUGGACCAGCACAGUGGAGUACAGGAGCACAAGGGAGUAUAUCCAGAUGACGUGAUAUGAAACCUCUUCCAUUCAUACUGAGGUAACUGAAGACAUCGUCAGUCAGCAGAGCUGGGUAACCUGCGUUCAAGAACUUAGGAGAACCACUGAAGAAUUCUUAUGACCAAUAAGGUUGGGCACUAUAAAAGUUUCAGGAGAAUACCUAGAAGCCACUAGUUAAAAACACAAGUGGGACAAGCAGGAUCAGCAACCUUUCACCCUGAGUUUAAUCCCAGAAUCAGAACAGUAAAUACAUGCUUCUGUCACCAAGUAGAGAAAUAAAAGGCGGGAGAUGUAAUUAACACAACCAAAAAUAGGUUUAUGGAAAUCAGCGCUAGGGCUGCAGCCAGCACUUAGAUGCCCUCUUCCCUGGGAGAGGAGUUUGUUGCAGGAACACAUACCAUUGUGAAGGGGUAUUAAGGUGGAGAAUAGGUUCCAGCUCCCAAAGGUGACAGUGCCAACAGCACAAGAGUUGAAGAUGAAACUUAUCAAACUCUGUGUAACACCACAAGCUGGGGAUGCCUGACAUACCCAGGAUUAAAGAUUGAGAUUCAGGAAAUGUUUUGAUAUUAAAAACCUCAUUUAAACACCUAAAAGCCCUCACAUUCAAACAAAGACUCCAAAACCUUUGGAGGAACCACCUUUCCUUCUCCUGUGGGUGGCUGCCGAGUUGAGAAAGUGCUGUCAUGUUUUCAGGUGUCUCCACCCACAGUGCUAACAUUCCCUCAGUGCAGGUAUGCAUUGUGGUGUAUCCCUGGGGCUGUCAGCCUGCUUUUGCCCAACAGCCUCUUUGAAAGGCCUCAUCGUAGACAUUUGAUAAUGGGAGUGUCCCUCGCUGACGGGACUGGCCCUCUCACCGACUGAAUUUGAAACUGUGAUACUAAAACAACAGUUCUGCCUGUUGCUGCCCAGUGCUGGAACAGCCCAGCAGGCAGAAAGCCAUGUGGAUGGUGGGAAUGCAGCCCUGUGUGCUGCACAGCCUGAGAGAACAGCUUGGCUCUGCCAGCAGCAUUCCUCCUGUGCGGCCUCCCCAAAACACAGCGCUGUUCUAGGCAUAAUGAAGAGCCAAGCGGCAGGGAAGAGCAAAUCUGGAAGAUGGAUGGCUGCAAUCCAGUGACCAGAUCCUUGGGGAAGUACUCGCUUUCUCAGAUGUGUAUGUGUUAUGCAGAGCAGAAGAUAACAGCGAGAAAUACUCCCCAGAGCAGGAACAUCAAUACCUGCAGAGUUCUUGCCUUAGUCCCUUCUCUGAAGCAAGAUUUAUUUUUAUGAUAGAUGAAUGCUUCUCUUUUUAAACCUGCUCCAGCAAGAGAUGAAAAUUAGAACAUGCCUCACAUUUUCUAGCUCAAGGAGGACCUCGCUUGAUACCAUGCUUGAGCUGAUUGCCAAGUGUCUGAAAACACUGUGGGUGAAGUGUAUAGGUAGAUUUGUUGGUGGUGGUGUGUGCGUAUAUGUGUUUUGGAAUUCCACUCUGUGGAGAAGGUACCAUAAUUUUCACUGUAGCGUCUUAAGUUCUUAAACCCAUUUGCUUUAUUAUCUUCCAAACAGAAAGCACCCCCCGUUCGUAAGUCGUACCGUGCACGUUUAUGUACAUUCCACACAGACACCCACACAGCACGCUGGGAUGCUUUGCCGAGCAGGAAGGCACAACCUGAGAAGAGCUUGUAUAUGCAGUGAUGCUCCAUGUAGUAUCUGGUUUAUAUUACCACUGGAUGGGCUUGACUGUGGUAUGCUGUGUACGUGUACCCAAAGGUACAUGCUGAAGCCUGGAUUUUGCAAAGACUUAAAAAAAAGUCACCGACUUCACAUAUGUUGUAAAUAGUUACAAAGAUUUCAGCUUGUAUAUAUAAAAAAGCAAUGGGUAUGUUUUAUGAGGUCUAAUGUUUAAUUUUCUCUCCACUGAGCAUGAAGAAAAUACACAAGUGUACAACGAGCAGAUAAAAACCAGAUUGUGCCUGUCUCUGUGGGCUAAGCUUGUCCUGCAGUUCUUGCUUAUCUGUACUUCUGGAUUGGGAGAGGCGCAUAAUAUACAUCAGCAAAUGAUCUACAUAGUCAUUAACUGCUUGACCAUCUGGUUGAAACAAAUAUUAUAGAAGCUGAUUCCCACUUGGAGACCACUCUGGUACCACACCCAUAGGGGAAAUCUUCGUAUCUUUGCGAGGCACGAUUUCAAAUAGCUCAGCUGCGUUCUCCAAGGCUGAUUUCUCCACUCUAAGGCACUAGACUUCCAUAUUUCCACUUUUGUCCAUGUACGCUUUUCAGGUACCUAUGUACAGGGUAGCAAAGCUACUGGCAGAAUGACAGAUGAAAACAAAAGCUUCUUCUCUUCCCCUUUUCCUGCAGGUAUGCAGUUUUAGAACAUUUAACCCACCUAGCGUCCGUGUCCAGACUUCUCUAUCUCCCACUAACCAAAAUGACUUAAACUUAGAAGUGCAAAUGCUACUUUAUUUUAUGUUCAUAGUUUAUCACCCGCCUUUUGGCCACUGCUUGCUUUAUGUGAUAAGGUUCAGUCACUGGAUGCUUUAUGCCUUGGGUCUUAUGUGUUGCAAUUUGUUUUCCAGCCAAAGAUAAAGUAGCAGUCUUUCCAUUAUUUUUCAUCUCUGCUUCCUUUCUUUCCUGCUUAACCUUUUGUCCCCUGUAGAAUUUGGGCAAAUCCAGCAGUCUUUAUAUUCUGACAAAACUGUACUUGGGGGCUAAAUUCCACUUAAAUCGAGUGACAGUUUAGAUUGGAUACAGAUUUUUCCCUUACUUGGUUUGUACAAAAUCUUAAAUUGAAGGGAAAACAAGAUCAAGUGGUUUGAAAGGCGCGAUGCACUGAGACUUACUUUUGGAAAAACUGUACUCGUAGUCCAGUAGAUCAGACUUUACAUUUCAUUACAAGCAAAGAGAAGGUGUGAUUUAAUUGCAGUCACGUUUAUUUGCAGUUUCUAUACACACUUUCUAGGUAAUCAAACUUUUCCGACACAUUUUUUGAGAGGGGUUCACAAUGAAACUGUCACCGUUUUUACUAAAAAUAAAUACAAGACUUAAAGUGUUGCACAGCUCUAAAAUAUACAAAGGCUUGGAUUUAAUGUAAACUUUGAAAACAUUUUACAAAAGAAACCAUCUUUGCAACAAUUUAAAAAGUUCAUAUUUACAAAUAUUACAAAAAUACAAAAUGGAUGCAAGUCCAUAAACCAUUGUCUUUUCUGCCAGCAUGAACUGGUGCUAGUACCAAAAUAGUUACACUGUAACCUUCUUAAUUUUUUUUUUUAAAUUCUUUAAGUCAUAACCUACAGUAUUUCUCUAUAUCUGCCACCAUUGCAGCAAAUGCACUCAAUCACUGACCUUUGGCAAAAGCAAAUAUAUGCUUUAUUUGCUACAACUAUUCCAUCUUCUCUAUGCUGCCAUGAAAAAAAGGGAAAGAAAAAAAGGGGAAAAAAAUGUUACUUUUCAAAACACACAGCUGUGUAACUUCCAAAAUCAUCUCCAGAACAUCAGUGCAAACAACGGAACAACAGGUUGAAACAAUGAUUCACUGGUGGCCAUUAGGCACAUACUGUACCCUGUUUCAAGAUGUCUGAUGUUCCCCUUGCUCUACAGCUUGUCCUCCGGUGCCUUGGAGGCACACCUGCAACACCGAAGGGGUCUCCCUCCAUUUCCUUUCCUCUGCCUCCCACAUUUGUUAUGAAUUCUCUUCUUCACAGUGGAUUUACAGUGGCUUUGUUUGUGUUUCGAUCCGCUGAACGGAAAAUAGGAAGAAAGCCUCUCAUAGAUUUUACACAAAAUAAGACUAUAUUUCAAUGUGAUUGUUCUCUGGUCAUCUUGUAUGUGAAGUAUUGCCUCACAAUUCAAGUCAAAAAACAUUUUAGUGUGUAUAUAUAUUUAUAUAUGGCACCUAUGAAAUUGUUGACUGGUAAUAAAAAGUGGUAUCACCAAAGUCAAUUCAUUUGUAUUCUCUUAACAGUUUUGAACGAUUCUUUAAAGCACAUAGAACACCUUUAAGGGCAAACGUUAUAAAAGAACUGGUAAAAUUUUAGGGAAAAUGACUUAAGAUGACAAACUAAGGAGUUUCUGCCCAAUACCUAAACUUCCUUUACUCAUGUUCUCCAGAAAGUGUUUUGUUAUAUGCUAUACAAUUCCUAUUAAAACAUUCCCAUUCAUUCAUUUCACUUGUGUUUAGACUUAUUUUAUUAACUAAGCUACUAAUGUGACUAGCCUUUAAUUUCCAAACCUUGCCCCACCUACCUUUUUAAAAACUACUUUAGACUUCCCUGUUUUGAAGCCCUUUAGCUGAUUUACCAUGCCUCUUCCCAACACACGUACUGCAUGCAUAGUGAUUCCAUCUUGCAUACUGCACACAACCAGACUACACAGGAGGACGGUAGGAUACCCUGAAUUAUAUAUUUCUUGUGGUAAACGCUAGACAAAAUGAGACACAAACCUUAUGGGAAAUAACAUUCAGGAUUUGUUAAACCAUUCUGACUUGCUCAAACUCUUUAAAAUCAUAACCGCUUUAGGUUGAAUCUUCCUCUUAAAAACACAAUCUGCCCUCUUUUAAAACUCUCAGCUUUAUGCAUUACAUGAAUAAAAGCACA
Molecule: long non-coding RNA, 4724 nt
Organism: Cygnus olor (mute swan)
Lineage: Eukaryota; Metazoa; Chordata; Aves; Anseriformes; Anatidae
Exons: 2
Source: RefSeq, a predicted model, not a curated record